CAGUCGGACGGGAUUGGAGAGCUUGCUUUCCAUGAGAGUGGCGCACGGGUGCGUAACACGUAUGUAACCUACCUUCGUCAGGGGGAUAGCCUCUCGAAAGAGAGAUUAAGACCGCAUAACAUUGCGAUGCAGCAUUGCAUUGCAAUCAAAUAUUUAUAGGACGAAGAUGGGCAUGCGGAACAUUAGCUAGUUGGUAAGGUAACGGCUUACCAAGGCUACGAUGUUUAGGGGAUCUGAGAGGAUGACCCCCCACACUGGUACUGAGACACGGACCAGACUCCUACGGGAGGCAGCAGUAAGGAAUAUUGGUCAAUGGGCGGAAGCCUGAACCAGCCAUGCCGCGUGCAGGAAGACGGCCCUACGGGUUGUAAACUGCUUUUGCAGGGGAAUAAACCUUCGUAUGUAUACGAAGCUGAAUGUACUCUGAGAAUAAGGAUCGGCUAACUCCGUGCCAGCAGCCGCG
RNAcentral lists this ribosomal RNA (463 nucleotides) under uncultured soil bacterium. RNAcentral's name for it is "bacterial SSU rRNA". It matches the Rfam family "Bacterial small subunit ribosomal RNA", at positions 59 to 519 of the family's 1533-position model. The record is from RNAcentral.